Molecule: non-coding RNA, 159 nt
Filed under: uncultured Intestinimonas sp.
Lineage: Bacteria; Bacillati; Bacillota; Clostridia; Eubacteriales
Source: RNAcentral
AGGUGCCGCCACGGCGGCUGAAAAGGGAAGUCCGGUGCAAGACCGGCGCAGUCUCACCUCUACUGUGAGCGCGGACGAGGGCGCGGAGACCAUUGGCCACAGAGGCCGAGAAGGUGUGCCUGAGGAGGAAGCGUGAGCCAGGAGACCUGCCCUGUCAAA